ACAGUGAAAAUAUGCUCAGUGCAGCCGAGUGCAUGAAUGAAAAAGCCUCUGGUACCUUCUAGUCUGGCAAAAUGCAGCACAAAACUCAACUUACUCUGUCUUUUCUGCUGUCCCAGGUUCUGCUGCUUGCAUGUGCAGAAGAUUUAGAAUGUGUGCCUGGAUUCCAGCAGAAGGUUUUUUAUAUAGAAAAGCCAUUUCAAUUCACAGAGGACCGGCUGGUUCUGAACCUGAAAUUUGAUGACUGCAAGGGGAACAACAAAUUGAACUUUGAAGUUUCUAACCCAGACUUUAGAGUGGAACUCGAUGGGAAUUUGGUUGCACUCAAGAAUGUAUCAGAAGUUGGCAAAGCCUUGUUUGUCCACGCGCGGUCGGAGCACGCCGAGGACAUGGCAGAAAUCUUUAUUCUUGAAGCAAAUGAAAAACAUGGUGCAUUAAAGGAAAUCUUAAAACUAGAAGGCAACCUUGGAAUUCCAAGACAAAAAAGGGCUAUUUUGACAACUCCAAUAUUAAUUCCUGAAAAUCAAAGACCUCCAUUCCCCAGAUUAGUUGGCAAGGUCAUCAGAAGUGAAGGGACAGAGGGAGUAAAGUUUCGGCUCUCUGGGAAGGGAGUAGAUCAAGACCCAAAAGGAAUUUUUAGAAUCAAUGAGAUGAACGGGGACGUCUCCGUGACCCGAACCCUUGAUCGAGAAGCAAUUGCCAAUUAUGAGCUGCAAGUGGAGGUCGUGGACAUGAAUGAGAAAACCAUGGAUGGCCCGGUGCGCCUGGACAUCUUGGUCAUCGACCAGAAUGACAACAGGCCCAUGUUCAAAGAGGGCCCCUACGUUGGUCACGUCAUGGAGGGAUCUGCCACAGGAACCACGGUGAUGCGCAUGGCAGCGUUCGACGCCGACGACGCCAGCACGGACAACGCCCUGCUGCGCUACAACAUCCUCAGGCAGACCCCCACCAAACCCUCCCCAAACAUGUUCUACAUCGACCCAGAGAAGGGAGACAUUGUCACAGUGGUGUCCCCAGCGCUGCUGGACCGGGAGACUAUGGAAAGCCCAAAGUACGAGCUGGUUAUAGAAGCCAAGGACAUGGGUGGGAUGGAUGUGGGACUGACAGGCACAGCCACUGCCACCAUUCUUAUCGACGACAAAAAUGACCACGCACCAGAAUUCACCAAGAAGGAGUUCCAGGCCACGGUGAAGGAGGGGGUCACAGGUGUAAUAGUGAACUUAACUGUGGGUGACCGGGAUGACCCCACCACCGGGGCAUGGAGAGCUGUCUACUCCAUCAUUAAUGGGAACCCAGGGCAGAGCUUUGAGAUCCACACCAACCCCCAGACUAAUGAGGGAAUGCUCUCUGUUGUCAAGCCUUUGGACUACGAGAUUUCAGCCUUUCACACGCUGCUGAUCAAAGUGGAAAACGAAGACCCGCUGAUCCCAGACAUCGCCUACGGCCCCAGCUCCACAGCCACCGUCCAGAUCACCGUGGAGGACGUCAACGAAGGCCCCGUGUUCCACCCAAACCCCAUGGCAGUGACCAAGCAGGAGAACAUCCCCGUUGGCAGCGUGGUGCUCACGGUGAACGCCACCGACCCGGACACUUUGCAGCACCAGACCAUCAGGUAUUCAGUGUACAAGGACCCAGCAGGGUGGCUGGAAAUCAACCCCACCAAUGGCACCGUUGGCACCACGGCAGUGCUGGACAGGGAAUCUCCCUUCGUGCACAACAACGUCUACACUGCUCUGUUCCUGGCCAUCGACAGUGGUAACCCUCCCGCUACGGGUACAGGAACUUUGCACAUCACCUUGGAGGAUGUCAAUGACAACGUCCCAUCCCUUUAUCCAACACUGGCAAAAGUUUGUGACGAUGCAAAAGAUCUCAGGGUAGUGGUCCUAGGAGCAUCAGACAAAGACCUUCAUCCCAACACAGAUCCAUUCAAAUUUGAGCUCAGCAAGCAAUCUGGCCCAGAAAAGUUGUGGAGAAUCAACAGGCUUAACAAUACCCAUGCCCAGGUCAUCCUGCUUCAGAACCUGAAAAAGGCCAAUUACAACAUCCCCAUCUCAGUGACAGAUUCUGGAAAACCGCCUCUGACCAACACCACAGAACUGAGAUUACAAGUGUGUACCUGCAAGAAAUCCAAAAUGGACUGCAGUGCAGCUGAUGCUCUCCACAUCAGCCUGACCCUAAUCCUCCUCCCACUCCUCAGUUUAUUUUAAAAGUGUCACCAGCACAGCAAGACAUGGAGGACAAGAUGAAGGAGAAGAAGGUCUGUAAGAAUUCCUGCCAUUUGAAGCUGUCCUACCGAGUUGCCAUGGCAACGAGAAGAAGGAAAAAACCAUCAGAUCUGAAGAUUGCAGUUUACAAUUACUGUUCUUCACUCCUCGGCCUCAGUUGCUCCAGUUUAGUUUGCAAUCUCACUCAAUCUGUCCGACUGUACCUUGGUGUUCGACAGCCUCCACCCCUCUGCCCUUUGGCCCUGGAUUCCUCCUGCAGGACACAAGGUUUACUCAAAAUUUACUCUGAAUGUUAAAAGACCAUGACAUCCAAACCCAACCUUGGGGGAGCAGGAAAAAAAAAAAAAAAAAAAGAAACAACAAAACCAGAUUGACUCCAUUUUUUUCUAUCUGUUGACUUGUUGCUAUUCAACUGUUCAGAAAAUAUUUUGUCUGUGGGUUAGUAUUUGUAUAUGUAUGAGUGUAUGUAUAUAUAUAUAUUUAUAUAGAGAGAAGAGUUAUACCACAGGUUUAGCUUUUAUAAAAUGUUCAUCUGGAGGGUGAGAAGGGAGGGAGCAGAAUAACACAGCCACAGAUGAAUUGUAGCUGUCCCACCAUGGCUAAACCUGCUGGGUUUGCUGUUCUGUUCAGAGCGUGGCCAGGAGGAGCGAGCCUGUGGCCACCCUGGGCUCUGCCGUGGCCCUUCUCGUACCUCAGGUUCAGCAAACACGAAAUGCAAGUCCCCAGGGCUUGUUCCUGGUCUGAACUGCUCUCCCUGGGCCCCAGAGGGAGCUGAGGAUGCAGGAGGAGCAGCCAAGUGUGAGCAGCUCAGCCUGAUUUGAAGGGCCAAAGGGCUGAAACAUUGGCUGGGGCAGGUGACAAAAUGUUUUUAUCAGCUCUGCAGGUGAGAAGCUGAGUCCAACAGCAGCGCUCAGUGCUUGCCAGAGCACUGAUCUCUGUCUCAGCCUCUGUGCCAGCAGCAGCACGGGUGCCCUGUUCUUGAAAUACCCUCACAAACACACAAAUCCAUCAUUUUGGAUAUAUAUAUACAUACAUACACACGUACACACAGUUUCCAGUUAAGAGUAACAAGAGCAUUUCUUUGUGUGUGUAAACUUACCACACCUGUUUGCAGACAUGGGAAAAAAGGGUGUUUGUUCUCUAUGAAUAUGGAUCCUUUUUUAUUCUGUGAGCAUGUAAGGUAAAAAAAAAAAAAAUCCUUCUAACUGUAUGAAGAUGAUCAUCUUGUUAAUAAACUGUAAAUGAUCCAUCAAAGCUCACACCAAAUUUUUAUAAAAUUAACACAAAAAGUAUACUAGUGACAGACUGUGGCUUUUAUUAGAGCUUGCCAGUAACUAGGGUAAGGUAAGUGUCUUAGAAUAUUUUAAUAAACUUGCUUAUUUAAAGUUUAAACAAGAAAGCUUCCUUAUGCAAUAGAACUUUGCAGCUGCAUUCUUUAGUUGGCAUUUUUACAGUAAUUAUGGGUCAUACUCGAUGGCAUCCUUACUACAGUGAGAGUAUGAGCAUAUCUUCCACACCACAUAUAUGUUUCAAUAGUAAAGAUUUUUGGAAACAUUAAAAAUAAGUCCAGACAUACUUUUAGUUUCCCAUAAUGCUACACUAGAUAUUAAAUGUGUGUUGGUGGUUAAAAUUUGCUGUACAAUAGCUUUUCUCCGACUUCCUGUAUUAUACCAAAUAUGAAACAGGUUUUUUUUCUUUCUUCCUUUUUUUUUUUUUUUAAAUCAAAAGGAGUAAUAACAACAGCGACAGAGGAAAAAUGAGUUUGUGUUGUGAGCUUUCCUAAGGUUGUAGAUUUCUUGAUAAGAUAUGAGCUGCCUUCAGACCAGUUUUUCUCUUCCAGCUUAACUCCUGCAGUCCUGACCAAGUGAAAUCUGCCCCUGGUCCCUGCAGGAGCCUCUGUGUCACCAAAGUGGCCCUUGAGGGUCAGUGGGAGCUGGUCAAGGACACCAGGAGAGGCUUUUGGCAGCUUCAGCAGGGAAGUGCCUGAUCCCAACCGUUAACAUGGGCACGCUCCUGGUCCUAUCUCCCUGCCCAUGCCUUGUAUGGACCCCAUGCUGCUGCUUUGCCAUCAACAAUCACGUCUUUUUUUAUUAAAAAAAUAUAUAUAUAUAUUAUUUUCAAGCAAAUUUUUCCAAAAGAAACAAUUUAACUACUGUAUGGCACCUCUGGAAUUCCAACGUGUAUGUUCAAUGAAUGCACCCAAAGAUAUUCUGCGCCCUGUGCUUUGAGCUACAAAACCUCUAUCUUGAAUAAAAGAAAUUAUAUUACCCUCCCCCACAAAUACUCUUUUCUACUUGCUUUUUUCCUCUCUCCACCCAGCCAGACCCACCUCUGGAAAUAAUCCCCCCUUGACUUUGGUGUAAUUUCUGUCAAAUGCCAAAAAAAAAUCUUUCCUUCCCUGCUUUAAACCAAGGCUCACAGAGCGUUUGGUGAAUCAUUCCAAGGGCAGCCAAAACGAGGAACAAAGAGAAAACUCUUCUGCCUGGAACUACACGAGCAAGAGGAAGACUCUUCCUACCACCCUGUGCCCAAGGAUAAGAUCUUUCUUCUUGGAUCCACUGCAAAAUUUUGAUGUGCAGAGAGAUCAGAGCCUGGCUGAGGCUCUGACCCGAGGUGCAUCCAAGCCUCAAUUCCCAUUCUCCCUUUAUUUCUGCUCCCACAGAAAAAGCCUCCCAGGCUUAAUUAUUAAAGCCUCCCAGGCUUUCCCAAUCUGUUCCAGGUUCCCAAGUGUUCCAGGCUCCCCAAGGAGCCCAUCCCUGGCCUACCCAGGCAUGCCAGGAGGAAGAUGAAGCUGCCAUGCUGAUGUUUCUCCCCAUUUAACACAGACUGUGGCACAUUCAUGGUGUGACACAAGCGAGGAACCACAGCAGAAUCUGAGUUUUCCUACCUGAAUAAAGGGUGUCACCUCUGGCUCAAAAAACCAAUGUCCAUUUCCUGAAACAAAGGAGCAACAAUGAUUCAUCCAUUUUUCUACAAUAUAAUGAAAAAGCAGAAAACUCACAAAAUUGGUUGUAUUGUUUUCUAAUAGUUGGUUAUGUUUAACAUCCGUUCAGCCAAGUUUGCUGUUUUUAUAACAUACCCCUUAUUCCUACCCAGCUGUUUUAGCCCCACCAUCAGUUCUUUCAGCCUGUUUGUAGAUACAUAAAUGCUGUCUACAUUUGGAAAGGCAGUGGACUUGCUGAUUAUCAUUUUGUAACAUGCACAAAACUUUUUAUUUGUAAAAGUCAUUUCACUUGAAAAGGCUCUGUGCUGUUGAAACAAAAAUUGGGAAUAGCAAUCAGUGAGAGGGGUUUAUUAGCAAGAGAAAGGUCUCAUUUUUGGUGUGCUUGCUAAUUGAACCCUGGUCUGUGCUCCUCUUGUGUGCUUUUCCAGUAUGCCUGUGUGCAUUUAUUAAUGUCCAUUUUGUUCAGUAGCUGUAGGUCUGAAGAGUAAAAAAAAGGGAAACGAGCUGAAUUUCCUGCUGGGUGUGGAGGAAAAUGAGGUAAGGGUGGGACACUGGUAACACAGUCCCUGAGCCCUGUUCUCAUCAUGUUUACACGGCUGGAAAUCAAACAGCAGCUCCAUCACCAGAACUGAGGUUCAGUUCAUCUUAUUUAGGUGAAAUCUUCCCUCCCCACAUUUUGCUUUUUGCUGGUUGGCUGUGAACAGUAAAGCUGUGAUGUUUGUCACAGGAUUGCUGAGUGCUUACACAUUAUCAGAAGUCUGGGGUUUGUCACAUCCACAGGUGACUCGUGCCCUUCACUGACCAUCUGAAGGUGCCUCUAAGGCUCCCAGAAUAAUUUGGUUUAACCUUUAUUCGAAAUGGAUGGGGUCAAAUAAUUUGUUCUGUUCUCUUACAUAGUCAUUUUUUUGUAUUACUAUAAUACAAACCUCAUUUAUUAAAUUAUGGACUUACAAGCAGUUUGUAGGGCCCUAUCUUAAAUGCCUUAUCACUACAAAAAGACAUCUACAACUUUUGUCUUUCCUUUGCAAAGGCCUCUUGUCUGAAAUACUGAGAAAGCUGCCAAUUUUCUUCUCAAAUGUUACUAAUUCACUUGGAGCAGAAUUCUGUACACAAAUGAUUUUACAUCACUUGGUCUAAAGGCUAAAUUGCUUUCAGAAUAGGUUUAAAAAUGUCUUAUUUAAUUAAAAAAAUAGUUACAUAAAGUCACACUGGCUUGAGAACACCAAGUCUGAAGCAAAACUCUGCUCCUGUCUUGCCUUUAUUGCAUCUCUAGAAACUCUGUUGUCUGAGAGAUCCAGUCCAAUGAAAACACGAGGAAAAAUAAAAUAGCAAUUAUUUCCUUUCAGUUAACUCUGUGCUCUGUAAUCUUUAGAAGUCACAUGCAGUGCACAUCAGUAAUUAUCAUUACAGCUAUUCUCUUUAAAGCAGAUAGAGCUGAGUCUUUCCUACACAGAGCACACAAGCCCUGUCCUCCUGCCUCACCCCAGGACACACGAGCUGGUUUGGGUUUGUCCCAGUGGGAUGGAUGCACUCCCCUACUCUCAGUGGAAAGUUUCUAGUUGCACAACUGCUAUGUGUGUAUAUAUGUAGAUAUAUAGAGAUAUACACAUUUAAAUAUAUAUAUAUAAUAUAUAUGCAGGUGGAAGGAGAUGGAUACAACACGGGAGACUUGGAAUAAGCAGUUUAAUUCCCUAAGUCAGGGAUGAAUUCAUGAGAUAAGGGACAGCAUGGGCUACAUGCACUGAACCAGUCUGAUUUAAAGCAAAUUAAAAGGGCAAAAAAAGCCCACACAUUUAACCCCAGGUUUAUCUCAACUCUCCUGUUGUAUUUCUGCUACCCUGAGCUGUCCCCUCGUACCGCAAUUACAUCAGUUGAAGAUAUGCACCAUUGUUUUCUGACUUAUUUUAAGUUGUCUGUGGAUCAGCAGGUCACCAGUAGUGGAAAGGGAAGGGUUUAGAGCCAGAAUUCCUCAUUCCUGAGCUUUCAGUGGGACAGCUGUUUGGGAAAGUUUCAUCCAGCCUUGAGCAUUACACUCCUCCUCUGCAUCAGCAAGUGACUGCACUCUGUAAUUUGGGGUGAAAUGAAUGUAGGCUAGAGCCAGGCUGGGUGUUUGGAUGUGCACACACCCCCUGCCUGAGGAAUGAAUCCGUGUCUGGGGGACUGUGGUGGGGAACUCAGCACAAACGAGUUGUGCUGUUACUGCCAUUUCAGCCAGAACCCUCCUCCAAAACCACACCUACCCCACAACAACCUCUGUCCCUUUAAGUUACCAUCAAGAUUAUUUUUUUAUGAUUUUUUUUUUCAUUUUUAAUAGUCCAGGCAAGGAGGAAAACAUUUUGUUUGAUUUUCAAGAUGCUUAAUUCAGCUGCUUUUCCAGUUAAUCAUUCCUUUGGGCCCUAGUUGCUGAAUCGCUUGCUGUUUCUGAGGUGUAAAUAAACGUUUUGAUUUAUGACGUGGUUGCAAAGAAACUUGUAAUUUAUUUGUGAAAUGCUCAAAUAAAGGAUGUAUGGGCUUUUA
This is an RNA transcript of Vidua chalybeata, 7683 nucleotides long. It is a transcript of the gene named cadherin 13, with no coding region annotated. The record is from RefSeq and is a predicted model, not a curated record. The transcript is spliced from 15 exons. Lineage: Eukaryota; Metazoa; Chordata; Aves; Passeriformes; Viduidae.